AAUGAACGCUGGCGGCAUGCCUUACACAUGCAAGUCGAGCGACAGCGUGGGCUGCGUGCUGGCGGCGAGCUGCGAACGGGUGGGUAAUGCAUCCGUAGAUGCCCAAUCGCGGUGAAUAACACCUCGAAAGAAGUGCUGAUACCGCAAACGUCCAGAGGUUGAAACCGGGGGAUCGCCAGACCUCGCGCGAUUUGAUUGGCCUAGGUCAGAUGAGCCAGUUGGAGGGGCAAUGGCCUAACAAGGCGACGAUCCGUAGCCGGUCUGAGUGGGUGAUCCGCCACACUGGGACUGAGACACGGCCCAGACUCCUGCGGGAGGAAGCAGUGGGGAAUUUUAGGCGAGGGGGGAAAGCCUGAUAGAGCAAUACCGCGGGAAUGAUGAAGGACUUCGGCUGGUAAAGCUAUGUAGGCAGGAAGGAAGCAAUGCGCUCUAACCUGGGCCGAUAAUGACGGUACCUGAAGAAGAAGCACCGGCUAACUACGUG
This 484-nucleotide ribosomal RNA is filed under the name uncultured bacterium. Its description in RNAcentral is "partial 16S ribosomal RNA". It matches the Rfam family "Bacterial small subunit ribosomal RNA", at positions 29 to 507 of the family's 1533-position model. The record is from RNAcentral.